ACGGGGCCCGCACAAGCGGUGGAGCAUGUGGUUUAAUUCGAUGCAACGCGAAGAACCUUACCUGGGCUUGACAUCCCUGGAAUCCCCUGGAAACAGGGGAGUGCCCUUCGGGGAGCCAGGAGACAGGUGCUGCAUGGCUGUCGUCAGCUCGUGUCGUGAGAUGUUGGGUUAAGUCCCGCAACGAGCGCAACCCUUGUCUUUAAUUGCCAUCAUUCAGUUGGGCACUUUAAAGAGACUGCCGGUGUUAAGCCGGAGGAAGGUGGGGAUGACGUCAAGUCCUCAUGGCCUUUAUGCCCAGGGCUACACACGUGCUACAAUGGGUGGUACAAAGAGAUGCCAACUCGCGAGAGCGCGCCAAUCUCAGAAAGCCAUCCUCAGUUCGGAUUGGAGUCUGCAACUCGACUCCAUGAAGUUGGAAUCGCUAGUAAUCGCGGAUCAGCACGCCGCGGUCGAAUACGUUCCCGGGCCUU
Molecule: ribosomal RNA, 470 nt
Filed under: uncultured Syntrophus sp.
Lineage: Bacteria; Pseudomonadati; Thermodesulfobacteriota; Syntrophia; Syntrophales; Syntrophaceae
Description: bacterial SSU rRNA
Rfam family: Bacterial small subunit ribosomal RNA
Source: RNAcentral